RNAcentral lists this ribosomal RNA (756 nucleotides) under Staphylococcus aureus. Its description in RNAcentral is "bacterial SSU rRNA". It matches the Rfam family "Bacterial small subunit ribosomal RNA", at positions 1 to 739 of the family's 1533-position model. Lineage: Bacteria; Bacillati; Bacillota; Bacilli; Caryophanales; Staphylococcaceae. The record is from RNAcentral.
UUUAUGGAGAGUUUGAUCCUGGCUCAGGAUGAACGCUGGCGGCGUGCCUAAUACAUGCAAGUCGAGCGAACGGAUGAGAAGCUUGCUUCUCUGAUGUUAGCGGCGGACGGGUGAGUAACACGUGGAUAACCUACCUAUAAGACUGGGAUAACUUCGGGAAACCGGAGCUAAUACCGGAUAAUAUUUUGAACCGCAUGGUUCAAAAGUGAAAGACGGUCUUGCUGUCACUUAUAGAUGGAUCCGCGCUGCAUUAGCUAGUUGGUAAGGUAACGGCUUACCAAGGCAACGAUGCAUAGCCGACCUGAGAGGGUGAUCGGCCACACUGGAACUGAGACACGGUCCAGACUCCUACGGGAGGCAGCAGUAGGGAAUCUUCCGCAAUGGGCGAAAGCCUGACGGAGCAACGCCGCGUGAGUGAUGAAGGUCUUCGGAUCGUAAAACUCUGUUAUUAGGGAAGAACAUAUGUGUAAGUAACUGUGCACAUCUUGACGGUACCUAAUCAGAAAGCCACGGCUAACUACGUGCCAGCAGCCGCGGUAAUACGUAGGUGGCAAGCGUUAUCCGGAAUUAUUGGGCGUAAAGCGCGCGUAGGCGGUUUUUUAAGUCUGAUGUGAAAGCCCACGGCUCAACCGUGGAGGGUCAUUGGAAACUGGAAAACUUGAGUGCAGAAGAGGAAAGUGGAAUUCCAUGUGUAGCGGUGAAAUGCGCAGAGAUAUGGAGGAACACCAGUGGCGAAGGCGACUUUCUGGUCUGUAA